GGAGGGGGGCAAGCGUUGUUCGGGAAUUACUGGGGCGUAAAGGGCGCGUAGGCGGACGAUCAAGUCAGAGGUGAAAGCCCUGGGGCUCAACCUGGGGAACUGCCUUUGAAACUGAUAGUCUAGAGUCCGAGAGAGGAUGGCGGAAUUCCCAGUGUAGAGGUGAAAUUCGUAGAUAUUGGGAAGAACACCAGUGGCGAAGGCGGCCAUCUGGCUCGGUACUGACGCUGAGGCGCGAAAGCGUGGGGAGCAAACAGGAUUAGAUACCCUGGUAGUCCACGCCGUAAACGAUGUGUGCUAGCCGUUGAGGAACCUAGUUUCUCAGUGGCGCAGCUAACGCAUUAAGCACACCGCCUGGGGAGUACGGUCGCAAGAUUA
RNAcentral lists this ribosomal RNA (375 nucleotides) under uncultured organism. RNAcentral describes it as "partial 16S ribosomal RNA". It matches the Rfam family "Bacterial small subunit ribosomal RNA", at positions 526 to 896 of the family's 1533-position model. The record is from RNAcentral.